AGAAACACCUGGGAAGAGCUUAAGAACUUAUGAGAUCACUGUACAGAGGUGUUUGACAAUGCUAAUAUCUCUGCAGGAGAACAAUGGUCCAUGUUUUUAGGG
Thalassophryne amazonica is the source of this 102-nucleotide long non-coding RNA. RefSeq lists it as uncharacterized. NCBI's taxonomy places the organism in Eukaryota, Metazoa, Chordata, Actinopteri, Batrachoidiformes, Batrachoididae. The record is from RefSeq and is a predicted model, not a curated record. The transcript is spliced from 3 exons.